RNAcentral lists this ribosomal RNA (528 nucleotides) under Pseudaulacaspis prunicola. Its description in RNAcentral is "eukaryotic LSU rRNA". Lineage: Eukaryota; Metazoa; Arthropoda; Insecta; Hemiptera; Diaspididae. The record is from RNAcentral.
AUCUGGGCGGCGGAAUUCAGGAUGGUCGUGUUCGCGCGCGGCCGUUUGAUAUUUCCGUCGCCGUGUCGGACGUCGCGACCUGUUCGCCAGUCGGUCCCUGCUCGGAGGAAUCGCGAUCGAGCUCGUUGCGCGGUACGUUUCGGCGUGUCGCGCGGCGAAGACGCGACUUCUCUGGCUGACGGCGGACAGUAAGCAACGGUGUCCGGCGUCGUGUCUCGCACUCGACGUCCGGUGCCGGUCUGCGACGAUUUCUUCGGGCCUCUUUCCGACCCGUCUUGAAACACGGACCAAGGAGUCUAACAUGCGCGCGAGUCGCGGGGCAUCGAGCGUACCACGGUGCGCUCGUCAUAUGCGAAACCCGUCUCUGAAAGGCGUAAUGAAAGUGAACAGGGAAGAUGGCGUUCCGAGACCACGUACCGUGAUCGAGUGUCGCGGCCGGACGUCCGCACUCCCGGGGCGUCUCAAUGGCUCGUCGCGGACGCGGACGAUCGUCUCUCCGGGGACGGUGGUCGGUCUGCGUCGGACCGA